RNAcentral lists this ribosomal RNA (392 nucleotides) under uncultured organism. Its description in RNAcentral is "bacterial SSU rRNA". It matches the Rfam family "Bacterial small subunit ribosomal RNA", at positions 526 to 896 of the family's 1533-position model. The record is from RNAcentral.
CAGAGGGCGCGAGCGUUGUCCGGAAUCACUGGGCGUAAAGGGCGCGUAGGUGGCCACCAUAAGGCCGCGGUGAAAGUUCGGGGCUCAACCCCGGAUCGGCCGCGGCGACUGUGGGGCUGGGGUACUGUAGAGGCAGGUGGAAUUCCGGGUGUAGCGGUGGAAUGCGUAGAGAUCCGGAAGAACACCAGUGGCGAAGGCGGCCUGCUGGGCAGUGGGAUCGAAAGGUCCCUUCAACCGACACUGAGGCGCGACAGCGUGGGGAGCAAACAGGAUUAGAUACCCUGGUAGUCCACGCCGUAAACGAUGGGCACUAGGUGCUCCGGGGAGCGACCCUUGGAGUACCGGCGCUAACGCAUGAAGUGCCCCGCCUGGGGAGUACGGCCGCAAGGCUG